RNAcentral lists this ribosomal RNA (253 nucleotides) under uncultured bacterium. RNAcentral describes it as "partial 16S ribosomal RNA". It matches the Rfam family "Bacterial small subunit ribosomal RNA", at positions 524 to 776 of the family's 1533-position model. The record is from RNAcentral.
UACGGAGGGUGCAAGCGUUGUUCGGAAUCACUGGGCGUAAAGCGCGUGUAGGCGGCUUCUUAAGUCUGGUGUGAAAGCCCGGGGCUUACCCCCGGAAGUGCACUGGAGACUGGGAGGCUAGAGUACCGGAGAGGAAGGUGGAAUUCCUGGUGUAGCGGUGAAAUGCGUAGAUAUCAGGAGGAACACCGGUGGCGAAGGCGGCCUUCUGGACGGCUACUGACGCUGAGACGCGAAAGCGUGGGGAGCAAACAGG